This 424-nucleotide ribosomal RNA is filed under the name uncultured bacterium. Its description in RNAcentral is "bacterial SSU rRNA". It matches the Rfam family "Bacterial small subunit ribosomal RNA", at positions 358 to 774 of the family's 1533-position model. The record is from RNAcentral.
GGAAUUUUCGGCAAUGGAGGAAACUCUGACCGAGCAAUGCCGCGUGAAUGAUGAAGAUCUUCGGAUUGUAAAAUUCUGUUAUUGGGGAAGAAUUACACUAUUAGGAAAUGAGUAGUGCUUGACAGUACCUGAUUAGAAAGCCCCGGCUAACUACGUGCCAGCAGCCGCGGUAAUACGUAGGUGGCAAGCGUUAUCCGGAUUUAUUGGGCGUAAAGCGAGCGCAGGCGGUUUCUUAAGUCUGAUGUGAAAGCCUUCGGCUUAACCGAAGAAGUGCAUCGGAAACUGGGAAACUUGAGUGCAGAAGAGGACAGUGGAACUCCAUGUGUAGCGGUGAAAUGCGUAGAUAUAUGGAAGAACACCAGUGGCGAAGGCGGCUGUCUGGUCUGUAACUGACGCUGAGGCUCGAAAGCAUGGGUAGCGAACA